Molecule: long non-coding RNA, 723 nt
Organism: Micropterus salmoides (largemouth bass)
Lineage: Eukaryota; Metazoa; Chordata; Actinopteri; Centrarchiformes; Centrarchidae
Exons: 2
Source: RefSeq, a predicted model, not a curated record
UUUACAAAUUGUUAACAAGGCAAUAGUAGUUCACAAUAUUUAGUUAAUAAUAGAUAAGAAAAAUAGGUGUAAGAAGAUUUCCUUUAUUGACAUCUUGUGAUUUUUUUUUGUUUAUUUAUUAGACUAAAAAAGCUAUCUAAGCAUCAUCAGCUGAAACGCGGAACACUGAUUGCCGCCAUAGACAAUGUUAAUGAUUUCACUAGAUGCGCCACAGCGGGUUUCAGAAGCCUUCCAGAAGUGACUGUCCGCGGAGAAUACACGGGAAAGUGCGAUGUUGUGGUGAGUUGCUGAAGGUCCCGGCCCUCUUUCACAAUGACCUGCUGUUCCAGGGGGUUCCGUACUAAGGUCUGCAAACAUAGAAUUUCCCUCGUUGCAUAACAAUUUCCUCUGGGGAAAUGAAAGUUUACAGCCCUGAAAUGCAUCAAGUUCAACUGCGUGUUCCCCCUCCCCCUGAGGACCUCCCCUUUCUCCCGCUGCGCCAAGACCACCUUUCCACAUCGCACGAGACUUUCAAGCCUCUCUCUCUGUUUAUUUUCACUUGACUUACUUUGUCAUCCUCUCCUUUCUGGUUGUCUCACUCCAUCCUCCCCUGCAGUGCUCUUCACAGCCAGUGACUUUGACCUUGUCUACACAUCCUGUUUACAAUAUGGGACACAUGUUUUUUGUGUUCAUGCCCCCACACAAUGCAAAUAUAACACUGCUGUUCUAAAACAUUGCCAUGAA